CCAAAACUAGCUCAUUUCGUGAAGAAAAAACUAAACAAGUUUAGCCACGACGACAUAAUAUAACGUCCCGUACGCAAUGACGUCACUGGUUACGCUGUGAAACCCAAGUACCGUAAAGGGACAAGCGAUUUUCUUCUGAAGACAGACAUUGAAUCUCUAUUAUGGCACUGCGGAACGUGUGUCGCCUCUUGGCUCAACCUCAGAGAUGUGCAAUUGUUUCUUUCGCACGAGCUCAGGGGACUGCAGCACCUGUUCGAUGGGAUAAAGAGAAGACUGAGAAGGCCAAAUCACCUAAAAUCCAGUUCAACUGGCGUGAUGCUCUGGACCUGGAGGGGCUACUGACAGAGGAGGAGGUCAUGAUCAGAGACUCUUUUAGAACCUACUGCCAAGACAAACUAAUGCCACGCAUCAUUUUAGCAAACAGAAAUGAAGUGUUCCACAGAGAAAUAGUGUCCGAGAUGGGGGAGCUGGGCGUACUGGGUCCAACCAUUAAAGGAUACGGCUGUGCGGGGACAAGCUAUGUGGCCUACGGUUUGAUCGCCAGAGAAGUAGAAAGCGUGGACAGCGGCUACCGUUCAGUCAUGAGUGUGCAGUCGUCGCUGGUCAUGCAUCCCAUCAAUGCCUUUGGCACAGAGGAGCAGAAGCAGAAGUACUUGCCCAAGCUGGCUCGUGGAGAGAUCCUCGGUUGCUUUGGCCUGACAGAGCCAAACCACGGCAGCGACCCAAGCAGCAUGGAGACCAGAGCAAAGUACAACCCGUCCAGCCGCACCUACUCCCUUACAGGCUCCAAGACGUGGAUCACCAACUCCCCAGUGGCGGACAUCGCAGUUGUGUGGGCAAAAUGUGACGAUGGGAAGAUUCGCGGCUUCAUCUUGGAGCGAGGCAUGAAAGGCUUUUCCACCCCGAAGAUUGAGGGAAAGUUCUCCCUGAGAGCGUCCGCUACUGGCAUGAUCAUCAUGGAUGAGGUGGAGGUUCCCGAAGAGAACCUGCUUCCCAGUGUGUCUGGCCUUGGGGGCCCAUUUGGCUGCUUGAACAAUGCUCGCUAUGGCAUUGCAUGGGGAGCUUUUGGAGCAGCAGAGUUCUGUUUCCAUGCAGCUCGUCAGUACACACUAGACAGGAUCCAGUUUGGAGUGCCGCUCGCACGGAAUCAGCUAAUACAGAAAAAGAUGGCUGACAUGUUGACAGAGAUCACCAUUGGCUUGCAGUCCUGUCUGCAGCUGGGAAGACUCAUCGAUGAGAAAAAAGCACAUGGAAACAGCACAAACAUCAUGCUUGAGCACCUUCACAUGAGCGGCCCCAGAGAUGAUCUCCAUGCUGAAGAGGAACAGCUGCGGUAAAGCGCUUGACAUUGCCAGACAGGCUAGAGACAUGCUUGGAGGAAACGGCAUCGCAGAUGAGUACCACAUCAUCCGCCAUGUCUUGAACCUGGAGGCCGUCAACACAUAUGAAGGUACCCAUGAUAUCCAUGCAUUGAUCCUGGGCAGAGCCAUCACUGGGCUGCAGUCCUUCACUGUGGACAAAUAAACCUGAAUUCUUGUCUGCUUUCAACCAAGUGGAGUCUGCUGUCAGAAAUGACAUUUACUGUGCAUGUCAGUUCAGUAAUAUGACUUAUGUCUGUGUGGACUAUAAAGAGGGAUAUUUUUGUAAUUUGAAGGACAGCUUGCUUUCAUCAUAUAUUUUGUUUGAACAAAAUUACUGUGUUAGGAUCUCAUGAUUAGAUUUGCUUUUGGUUACUGAUGAGAUUCAGCUCUCCAAAUCUCAAAUUUUGAAGUAGAACUGUUAGAAUGGUUCUCUCAGACAUGACUUAUUAUGAUGACGCUUCAGCACUUUAUUAGUUCAUGUCCUAGGAUGAUCAUGACUUUGUAUGGUUUGCUAAAGCUCAAUUUUGCAUCAGGGCUUUUGAAUAAAAAGUAUUUAAUUGUUCAAAUAUGUGAAAUGUCUUUUUGGGAUGUGUGUGCAUGAUGGAAGAACCCAAAUCUUAAAUUCUCACUGCAAAGGUAGUUGUGUUUUCACAUUUGUUUGCUAAUUUGAAGGGUUUUAUGUUAUGAGUUUGUUUUUUCUCGUUUGUGUGGGUUUUCUUCGGGUACUUCGUCCCACAUUACCAAAUCAUGCAUCCUAAGAUUAAUUGAAUAUUUUAAACUGUCUAUAGGUGUGAGCGUGAUAUAUUUGUAUUUGUCCUGUGACUGGCUGGCGACCAGUCCUGGGUGUACCCCACCUCACUGCAAAGUCAGCUGAGAUAGACUCAAGCUCAUGGAUGGUUAACAUUGCAAGCUGAUGAAUUUUUUGAAAAUUUAUAAAACAUAUUACAAUAAAUAAAUAAAAUAAUAAAAUAAAAUAUGAUUAUAUUUUAAUUACAAAAUAUGGGGGGCGGGGGGAUGAUGAUCCAAAUAAUGAUUGUUUAGCAUUAUAUUGUAGCAAUCUUUUGUAUUUUUACCGACUCUCUAACUACGAGUCUUUUUAUUUUAGCAGAAUGCAUUACAUGAAAAUGUGCUUAUUUUAGUGUAGACUUUUGAAUAUGAUUUUGAUGAAAGUUCAUAGUUUUAGCACACCCAUCAAGCCAAUGAGGUAAAAGUGAACAAUGUUAUGUAACCAUAUGUAUAAUUUAUUGAAAUAAGUUACUUUGCUAAAACAUGAUGUUAAUUUUUGGGAUACCUAUACUAUAUAUAGUAGAACUUUUACAACCCCAAUUCCAACGAAGUUGGGACGUUGUGUUAAACAUAAAUGAAAACAGAAUACAAUGAUUUCUGGGUGUUGUUGAUAAAUGGCUUUUGCUUUGCAUAGUAGAGUUUCAGGUUGCAGUAAUGGAUGUAAUGCCGAACUAUUCACUUAUUGGUUUUCUGAAGUGUUCCUGAGCCCAUGUGAUGAUAUCCUUUACACAUUGAUGUCGGUUUUUGAUGCAGUGCCGCCUGAGAGAUCAAAGGUCACGGGCAUUCAAUGUUGGUUUUCCGCCUUGCCGCUUACAUGCAGUGAUUUCUCCAGAUUCUCUGAACAUUUUGAUGAUAUUAUGGACCGUAGAUGACGAAAUCCCUAAAUUCCUUGCAAUUGUACGUUGAGGAACAUUGUCCGUAAACUAUCGACUAUUUUCUCAUGUACUUGUUCACAAAGAGGUGAACCUAACCCCAUCUUUGCUUGUGAAUGACUGAGCAAUUCAGGGAAACUCGUUUUAUACCCAAUCAUGGCACCCACCUGUUCCCGAUUAGCCUGUUCACCUGUGGGAUGUUCCAAACAGGUGUUUGAUGACCAUUUCUCAACUUUCUCAGUCUUUUUUUGCCACCUGUCCCAUCUUUUUUGGAACGUGUUGCAGCCAUAAAUUUCUAAGUUAAUGAUUAUUUGCUAAAAACAAUAAAGUUUGUCAGUUUGAACAUGAAA
This is an RNA transcript of Phyllopteryx taeniolatus (common seadragon), 3369 nucleotides long. It is a transcript of the gene named glutaryl-CoA dehydrogenase, mitochondrial-like, with no coding region annotated. The record is from RefSeq and is a predicted model, not a curated record. The transcript has 13 exons. NCBI's taxonomy places the organism in Eukaryota, Metazoa, Chordata, Actinopteri, Syngnathiformes, Syngnathidae.